Molecule: long non-coding RNA, 1570 nt
Organism: Tympanuchus pallidicinctus (lesser prairie-chicken)
Lineage: Eukaryota; Metazoa; Chordata; Aves; Galliformes; Phasianidae
Exons: 3
Source: RefSeq, a predicted model, not a curated record
GCUCCUCGCCUGCGGGGAGAGAAGCGGGCGGUGAGAGCGGCGGGACGGCUUCGUCGGGACCGCUCCGUCGCCCCGCCGUCCCUCACCGUGCCGUCCCGCCGCGGGGCCGCGGCCCAGGAUGCCGUCGAUGAAGUAGGAGGAAACAGAAUUUGAGCUAUUGAAUUUCUUCUGGCCUCAAGAAUAUCUGUCAGAACCUCACUGAGGAAUGUGUUAUGUGCACAACACCUGCAUCACCCUCCUUCCCUGCAUGUUAUCUGCACACAUCUCUUUGCCCAGAGAGAAGAUCCUGAAUCUUGGAGACCAGAUAGUGGAACCCCAGUGAGAUCUCCCAAAGCCAAGAGCAACAGUGUGUUUUCCUGCAACUUUGUUCAACUAACCAAAUCCAAGAAUACACAAAACAGCAGAUAAAGCCCCAUUAUUUCCUUGCUAGUUUAGCAACAGCCAUCCAAUGCAGGCUGAUUUUUGUGAGAAGUAUUUUUCUCAGCAGAGCUCUUUACCAGAAAGCUGUUUUUCUUCCUACAGAUGUGUUUUUCUAGUGCUUUCUCUUUUGAAAUUGAGGUAAAAAUAGUAUUUGUCACUAAUGGCUGGAUGAGGCAGUUAGUCCUAUUUUGAGUUUUUGCACAUCGCUACAAGGUGCUUCAUUCAAUUAGGUUGGUUUUCUAGCAUUCCCUGUUUACGAUUAGGUGAAUCAUACUAUUCCUGGAACCUUUCAAGGAUGGAUAUAUUUUAGCCUUUAUUUCUCAGAUACAAUUGAAUCUUCCUUUUCUGUUUGGAUAUUUGAGGAUUCUUCAGGCAAAUCCCAUUUAUCCUGCUGAUUAGACUUCUGACGUAGUAUCUUGUAUUUCUGUUGUGUCUUCUUGUGAGCUGGAGAGCCUGUUUCAUACUUGCUGCCCAAUGCCAUUGAAAAAUGCCCAUAGAAAGAGUGAUCUAAGCGAUAUUUUCAUAGUUUUGUGUUUAACCAACCUUGCUGCUACUGCUUUCUUGCUUUUGUUUGGCUCCCAAAGUAAAAUGUGAGAGAUAAAUUACGACUUUUCCUUUUUUGAAAGUGUUGGAAAGAUGAAAGGCAGCGUAUGUGUGUGUUUGGAGAUGACGGUGGGGUUGGAACUUUGAGAGGCUCUCGAUACUUGCUGUAUUUGAAACGUUUCUUGGUUUGUUUUAAGAACACAUCAUGAGUGCCAGCAUUCUUUAUUGAACCUCAUAAAAAUGUGGCCUUGUAUUUAAAGAUUAAUACUUAGAUUUGUAAAGCAAAGCCUGUCCAUAAUCACAUUACAAGAAAAUUAUGAGAUGGAAUACUUGACAGGGUUAACAGGAGAAUCUUCCUGAAUGUCCAAGGAGUUUGUUUACCAGCUUAGCAGAGAUCUUCAGUGGCUUGAAGAUGAUGACCGCCUCCUUAGAUACUUCAGUGCAGAACUUGGAUGAAGGAGAAGCCUGACAAGAGCUCUGGAUCAACUUGAUGCCUUAGCAACUAGAUCCUGAAGGACGCUGAGCAUCUUUAAUGCCAAGGAAAUGUCUUUUACCAGAUGAUAUUCUUCAGUAUUGACUGGUCCUCCAGGGUUCCUUUAUUCAGGUA